Long non-coding RNA from Mus musculus (house mouse), 3898 nucleotides. RefSeq annotates it as predicted gene, 35048. Lineage: Eukaryota; Metazoa; Chordata; Mammalia; Rodentia; Muridae. The transcript has 6 exons. The record is from RefSeq and is a predicted model, not a curated record.
UCUUACAGCUCAGAUCCUGGCUAUGAUUUAAUAUGUGCCAAUCAGAAGCUCCAUUCAAGACUCUCAUUCAGUGCCGAGUUCAGUGGAGAGACGGCAGGAGGAGGCUCUGCAGGCAGCAGAGAGUCUGACCGCUUCCCGGUGACAUCAAUGGUGACAACAAUGGUGGCAGAGAUGUGUCUGGGGGUUCACCUACAGUCCUUCCCUUCAGUUCCCCCAGAGGGUCUGUCAUCUGUUGUAGUGAAGCAAGAAUCUCCUUUUCUGGAGACCUGACACAAUGGCUCUGCUUACUGUCACCUGGUUUAACCGGUCACCUCCAUCCAUCACAGCCUCUCCUGGUUGCUGUAUGCUUGAUCUUGAGCUAGAAAGUGAGAUCUCCAAGAUUUGACUUCUCUUCUGUGAGGUGACAUGUUUUAGAGCAGACCUCUGCGCCUGACAGGCUAUGUCUUUGCUUCGUCCUCUGAAGGACCCACAGAGCAAACGGAAUGCCAGUGAGACUGUGAAAUUGAUCUGCUUCAGUGAUCCAUCUUAGGGUGUACAGAGCACCUGAGCCUGUCCAUCAAAGCUCUGGCCUCACUGCUCCUGGAUUCUCUGUCUGUCUUAAUCCCAGUUGUCAUCCAUGGACAAAGGAUGCUUUCGUCUCUGACUCCCAAUGUCUGUGGAGCCAGUGUUCUGAAUACUGCAGCAACAGGGGCUGGUGUCUCUCAGGAAGGAGAUACUGCAUGAGGCAAGGCACAGUGAAUGAAAUCACCCAUGAGAAGAGGAGAUGCGUGCUCCAGAACUCCCACUGGCUAUUAGCUGUGGUUGCCAUGGCUGCCGCUGAUAUCAUCACCAUUGACAAGGACGUCACAUCAUCGUUAUGGCUUCCACUCUGUUGCUGUUUGGAUUUUCUUCAUCCAGAUGAUGGGGUUUGUGAUCUCCUCCGAAGACUUUUGAAGAAUAGGGACACACAACUCUGCCAUUAACCUCAUGUGCGGAUGAAGAAAACAGAGCCCAGGGUUGUGAAUCCUAGCCCCAAGUAGACUCAUCUCUCUGCCACUUGGGCAUGCUUUAAAUCUUCACAUUCAAACUGCCACUUUGCACGUUGUGGAAACCAUCCCAGCAGCCCUGGGCCUGUGGGGAAAGGCUCUGGCCACAGAGGCUACCUGACCACUAGGAUGAAAGAAGCCACAGGAGCAGCUGCAAAGAACACUCCUCCAUCUUAGAGACAAGACAACCAAAGCUAGACAACACACCCUCGCUGUUUAUUUCCAUCAUGGUCCCUACGGAAAGCAGGAGUGGAGGCUGAUGAGAGAAAAGAUGACUUUCUGUAGUUCGAGGAAGGUGAGAAGUGAGAAUUCCCCACCUCCACCCCGAGAUGAGACAUCUGUUCUCCACUCUCGCUCUGGGACAGUAGCUCUUCUCCAUGACCCAAACUAUCCCCAGCUGUGUCCUUUGGAACGGAGAGCAUGACCCUCUCUCUGUGUGGAACACUCCGCACCCAGGAGGCAUCAUUCUGAACUCCAUUCAGGAUGGAGCCUUCCAGACCUUCAUCAUCUCAAAACUAUGUGCAGGGCAGCAAGACUGUACUCAUGACCCAGGGUGACCACGUACUCUCUCCUCCUCAGAACCUGAUCUUUGGAGAAGCAGCCAUGGUGCACAGAGGAAGGCGAUCGCCAUGGUGCCCCCAAAGCUCCAGCAGCCAUGUGCUAAUAAUGCAAGAAGCUGAAGGAGAUUGAGGGGGAGACUUGGCUCAGAGACUGGAAACAGAAAUGAUAAGCGAAGUGAUGCUUAAUUAAAAGCACAUUUGUAAAAAGAUCAGGCCUGGCCAAAAAAAAAAAAAAAAAAAAAAAUGACAACGAUAGCUAAACUUUUAAAAUCAAGUCACUCUCUCCUGAGAUUUCUUCCAGAGCCAGGCUGAAUUCAGGACUCUGGGUUUUGUCUUCUAGGAGAGUCUGCAGAUCUGGGGAGGAAUGGGGGGCAGGCAGUGAGGGGGAGGUAAGCUAAGUGACAAAGUGCUAGCUCCUGGGGCGUCUGCAAAGGGCAGGGCUUCUCCAAGCAUGACCCGAGAUAUGAAAGGCCAUGGCAGGAAUGAGGCAAAACUCAAACAUGCCUCACCUACGUGCCAGCCACAAACCCAGGGCAGACACCGCAAACACACAUGAAUGGCUUCACAAGGAUGGAGGUCCCGAAACAAAAACCUGAACUCCAAAUCAUGAAUGUCCUGGGAAAAUGGAUCACUCUGUAAAGUGCCUGCCUUGCAAGCACAAGGACAUGAGUGUAAACCUCAGAACUCACAAACUCACAUACAAAGAAAAAAAAAAAGCCCUAGCCUGUGCUUAUAUCGAUACUUGGAUGCAGAGGCAGAUGGAUCCCUUAGACCCACCAACCAGCUUAGCCGACUCCUAGCUCAACGAGAGACCCUGUCUCAAAAAAAAAAAAAAAAAGAAAGAAAGAAAGAAAGAAAGGUGAAUGAUAUCCAAGGAAUGACACCAGAGGUACUCCUAUGGAUAACACACACAAGAAUCUAUGCACACACAUGCACAGGCAUAUACUCACACACACAUAUGCACACACACAGAGACAUACAUACACACAUGCACACAUGCACUUGUACGCAGAGAAAAGCAGAUUCUCAGGAGUAGUUUGAGGUGCAUCUUCAUCUUUGGAAAACAUUAGUUUAAAUCUCAGAAAACAGACCUGCAACUCACAGGAGAAAUUACAGGAAGGUGCAUUUUUCAACUACAAAACCUUCCAAGAACAAGGCUGUAGAACAGGAGAUGGAGAUGGCCUCUCUACCCUACUCCCUGGACUCCCAGCCCCUCUCCUGGAAUGAUUACACAGGGAGACUCAAUGGUCACAGGCAGAGCUACCACAUUCACAUCUGCCUGUGAAUGAAGACUGCUUGCAGAUGUGUCCACAUUGCCGUUCAGGAAAUGUUUAUUGGUCAGAGGCUAAGAGGACACUUGUCCCUGUGUAUAUUGCCACUUACUUGCCCCCUCUGUGACAGGAGAGUCCUCUACACGAAGCAGAAGCAUCUCAAGUCUACACCACUCUUUGAGAGCCCUACACUUCCCAGUGGAUCACUGCUAGCCAAGUAUGCGGACAGCGUGCUUGCUGCUGGCGCCAAGAAGCACAAUCGAGGGAGGAAGAGCGUAUCUUAAAUAGAAGUGGUAUUUGCAGUUGGUAAAACAUAGAUUAUUUUUGCUCUUAGAGAAAUUGAUUUCCUAGAAGAUGAUUAAUUAUGUCUGCAAAACAGAAAAUCCAUCAAAGACAAAGUGGUUUUCCUUUCAGAAAACACUAAAAAAAAAUUCUCUACCAUGUCAUUGCAUAAAUAUGAUGUGCUAUUAAUAGGCAUCUUGUCUCCUUAUACUGGGUUCAUUUUCUGGGGAAGUGGGGACUUGCUUUGAGACUAGGGAAAUGUUUUGUUCUCUUCUCUGGUUCCUGGGAAUCUAAGCAAAAGUUCUGCCUGUACUAACUCUAAUGAAGGUCAUUGUGUGGGGAAAACAAGGAAAGAGACCCCAACUUGCAGUGUGAAAGGGACUUUUUCAGUGAGUCUGUGCUACCUUCAAGGAAGGUCCAGAAUCCCACUACCGUCCAACUAACCCACUUCUUAUACCCUCACCCAGCAGGCCCAGGAUGCCACCUUGCUCCAGCCAUGACUGUGCACUGGCCCCCUCUAGGACUGAGUAAGAAAACCUUUCCAGGGGCAGCCCUGGGAGUGACUUUCAUCUGGAGUGCUAUAGUUACCUCCUAGCUGGGAUUUCUCAAUCCAUCUCCCUUCCUUUCUAGAAGGUCACUCUAAUCAGACAGCCAGAGUGAUCCUGUAAAAACCAGUUAGAUCACAGGCUGUGUGGCUCAAUCCUUGCAAAAGCCUCCCAUCUCAACCAUAGUUGAAAACAGAGUGCUUAGCCCCACCCUA